RNAcentral lists this ribosomal RNA (253 nucleotides) under uncultured bacterium. RNAcentral's name for it is "partial 16S ribosomal RNA". It matches the Rfam family "Bacterial small subunit ribosomal RNA", at positions 524 to 776 of the family's 1533-position model. The record is from RNAcentral.
UACGUAGGGGGCAAGCGUUAUCCGGAUUUACUGGGUGUAAAGGGAGCGUAGACGGCAUUGCAAGUCUGAUGUGAAAGAUUGGGGCUCAACCCCAGGCCUGCAUUGGAAACUGUAAAGCUGGAGUACAGGAGAGGUAAGCGGAAUUCCUAGUGUAGCGGUGAAAUGCGUAGAUAUUAGGAGGAACACCAGUGGCGAAGGCGGCUUACUGGACUGUAACUGACGUUGAGGCUCGAAAGCGUGGGGAGCAAACAGG